UACGAAGGGGGCCAGCGUUGUUCGGAAUUACUGGGCGUAAAGCGCGCGCAGGCGGUCUUCCAAGUCAGUGGUGAAAGCCCGGAGCUCAACUCCGGAACUGCCAUUGAAACUGUGAGACUUGAGGAUGAGAGAGGUGAGUGGAAUUCCCAGUGUAGAGGUGAAAUUCGUAGAUAUUGGGAAGAACACCGGUGGCGAAGGCGGCUCACUGGCUCAUUUCUGACGCUCAGGCGCGACAGCGUGGGGAUCAAACAGG
RNAcentral lists this ribosomal RNA (253 nucleotides) under uncultured bacterium. RNAcentral describes it as "partial 16S ribosomal RNA". It matches the Rfam family "Bacterial small subunit ribosomal RNA", at positions 524 to 776 of the family's 1533-position model. The record is from RNAcentral.